This 478-nucleotide ribosomal RNA is filed under the name uncultured bacterium. RNAcentral's name for it is "partial 16S ribosomal RNA". It matches the Rfam family "Bacterial small subunit ribosomal RNA", at positions 28 to 523 of the family's 1533-position model. The record is from RNAcentral.
GACGAACGCUGGCGGCGUGCUUAACACAUGCAAGUCGAACGGUAAGGCCCUUCGGGGUACACGAGUGGCGAACGGGUGAGUAACACGUGGGUGAUCUGCCCUGCACUUCGGGAUAAGCCUGGGAAACUGGGUCUAAUACCGGAUAGGACCACUGCCUGCAUGGGUGGUGGUGGAAAGCUUUUGCGGUGUGGGAUGGGCCCGCGGCCUAUCAGCUUGUUGGUGGGGUGAUGGCCUACCAAGGCUACGACGGGUAACCGGCCUGAGAGGGCGACCGGUCACACUGGGACUGGGACACGGCCCGGGCGCCUACGGGAGGCAGCAGUGGGGAAGAUUGCGCAAGGGGCGAAAGCCUGACGCGGCGACGCCGCGUGAGGGAUGAAGGUCUUCGGGUCGUAAACCUCUUUCAGCACCGACGAAGCGCAAGUGACGGUAGGUGCAGAAGAAGGACCGGCCAACUACGUGCCAGCAGCCGCCGUAA